RNAcentral lists this transfer RNA (63 nucleotides) under Homoeoxipha nigripes. RNAcentral's name for it is "tRNA-Leu". The record is from RNAcentral. Lineage: Eukaryota; Metazoa; Arthropoda; Insecta; Orthoptera; Trigonidiidae.
AUUAUAUUGGCAGAGAAGUGUAAUGAAUUUAGAAUUCAUGAAUGUGUAUUAACACAUAUAAUA